This 250-nucleotide long non-coding RNA is filed under the name Elaeis guineensis (African oil palm). RNAcentral's name for it is "long non-coding RNA (EGUI_LNC005549)". The record is from RNAcentral. Lineage: Eukaryota; Viridiplantae; Streptophyta; Magnoliopsida; Arecales; Arecaceae.
UGUGCUGCUUGGCACUUUGGUGGCUUGGCCGCUCGAGAUCUAGCCAUUUAGAAUUUUUUUCUUUUUUUUCUUUCGGUGAUUGCCUGGUCGCUGCUUUCUUCUCCAACGGCCGUCGCUUAAGGAGGUUGGCCACUUGAGAUCUAAGAAUUUUUUUUUCUUUUUGACCUUUUCCUCCUUCCAUGCUUCCUUAAUCUUCCUCAAGGUAUACUUUUCUUAAUCCUUAAUCUAGGAUUUUUGAAUUUUCAUGUUU